GGAAUAUUGGACAAUGGCCGAGAGGCUGAUCCAGCCAUGCCGCGUGCGGGAGGACGGCCCUAUGGGUUGUAAACCGCUUUUGUUGGGGAGCAAUAAGGGUCACGUGUGACCUGAUGAGAGUACCCAGCGAAUAAGCAUCGGCUAACUCCGUGCCAGCAGCCGCGGUAAUACGGAGGAUGCAAGCGUUAUCCGGAUUUAUUGGGUUUAAAGGGUGCGUAGGCGGGCUGCUAAGCGUGAGGUGAAAUGCCACGGCUCAACCGUGGGACUGCCUCGCGAACUGGUAGUCUUGAAUGUCCGUGCCGUGGGAGGAAUGUGUGGUGUAGCGGUGAAAUGCAUAGAGAUCACACAGAACACCGAUUGCGAAGGCAUCUCACGAACGGAUGAUUGACGCUGAGGCACGAAAGCGUGGGGAUCAAACA
This 419-nucleotide ribosomal RNA is filed under the name uncultured bacterium. RNAcentral's name for it is "bacterial SSU rRNA". It matches the Rfam family "Bacterial small subunit ribosomal RNA", at positions 358 to 774 of the family's 1533-position model. The record is from RNAcentral.